Molecule: ribosomal RNA, 481 nt
Filed under: uncultured bacterium
Lineage: Bacteria
Description: partial 16S ribosomal RNA
Rfam family: Bacterial small subunit ribosomal RNA
Source: RNAcentral
GAUGAACGCUGGCGGCGUGCUUAACACAUGCAAGUCGAACGAAACACUUUAUUUGAUUUCCUUCGGGACUGAUUAUUUUGUGACUGAGUGGCGGACGGGUGAGUAACGCGUGGGUAACCUGCCUUGUACAGGGGGAUAACAGUUGGAAACGGCUGCUAAUACCGCAUAAGCGCACGGCAUCGCAUGAUGCAGUGUGAAAAACUCCGGUGGUAUAAGAUGGACCCGCGUUGGAUUAGCUAGUUGGUGAGGUAACGGCCCACCAAGGCGACGAUCCAUAGCCGACCUGAGAGGGUGACCGGCCACAUUGGGACUGAGACACGGCCCAAACUCCUACGGGAGGCAGCAGUGGGGAAUAUUGCACAAUGGGCGAAAGCCUGAUGCAGCGACGCCGCGUGAGCGAAGAAGUAUUUCGGUAUGUAAAGCUCUAUCAGCAGGGAAGAUAAUGACGGUACCUGACUAAGAAGCACCGGCUAAAUACGUG